UACGUAGGGUGCACGCGUUAAUCGGAAUUACUGGGCGUAAAGCGUGCGCAGGCGGUUGUGUAAGCCAGAUGUGAAAUCCCCGGGCUCAACCUGGGAACUGCAUUUGUGACUGCACGGCUGGAGUGCGGCAGAGGGGGAUGGAAUUCCGCGUGUAGCAGUGAAAUGCGUAGAUAUGCGGAGGAACACCGAUGGCGAAGGCAAUCCCCUGGGCAUGCACUGACGCUCAUGCACGAAAGCGUGGGGAGCAAACAGG
This 253-nucleotide ribosomal RNA is filed under the name uncultured bacterium. RNAcentral's name for it is "partial 16S ribosomal RNA". It matches the Rfam family "Bacterial small subunit ribosomal RNA", at positions 524 to 776 of the family's 1533-position model. The record is from RNAcentral.